AUUAUUUUGGCAGAAUAGUGCGAUUGAUUUAGGGUCUUUUUAUAUGGUAAUCCAUAAAUAAUA
RNAcentral lists this transfer RNA (63 nucleotides) under Aspidiphorus orbiculatus. RNAcentral describes it as "tRNA-Leu". Lineage: Eukaryota; Metazoa; Arthropoda; Insecta; Coleoptera; Sphindidae. The record is from RNAcentral.